AAAUAGUUUUGCUAUAUAUAAUAGGGUUCGCCAAGCGGGGGAUUUCUCAGAUCUCAUUCCCCUGCCUCUCCUCUUUCUCAUUCUCUCCCAAAUACAACCCUAAUAGUAUAUAGUUUAUGUUCUCUUCCAACUUUGACUGCGAAGAGAAGGGAAUGUUUCCUUUCGACUUUCUUUAUUGAUUUUUCUAGAUGUAUAAGGUUCAUAUUCAAAAGAAGGCGGAUGUACAAGGUUCGUAUUCAACAUCGGCCUCAACCAUCUAUCCCAUCUUUCAGUGUGACAAUGGCCAUGCGGCUUGUGCCUCUUGCUGCACCAAGAUGAGUAACAGAUGUACAAGGUUCAUAUUCAAACGGAGGCGGAUGUAAAGGUUCAUAUUCAACAUCGGCCUCAACACCGUCGGCCCUCCGAAUUGCACUGCUUUUUCGUGUCGUAUUAUCGUCAGGGAUUCCAGGGAAAGA
Molecule: long non-coding RNA, 455 nt
Organism: Tarenaya hassleriana
Lineage: Eukaryota; Viridiplantae; Streptophyta; Magnoliopsida; Brassicales; Cleomaceae
Exons: 3
Source: RefSeq, a predicted model, not a curated record